RNAcentral lists this ribosomal RNA (327 nucleotides) under uncultured eukaryote. RNAcentral's name for it is "partial 18S ribosomal RNA". It matches the Rfam family "Eukaryotic small subunit ribosomal RNA", at positions 1470 to 1796 of the family's 1831-position model. The record is from RNAcentral.
CCCUUAGAUGUUCUGGGCCGCACACGCGCUACACUGAAGGAGGCAGCGUGUACUCCUGGAUCGAAAGAUUUGGGUAACCCGCGAAUCUCCUUCGUGCUAGGGAUUGAGGUUUGCAAUUAUCCUUCAUGAACGAGGAAUUCCCAGUAAGUGCAGGUCAUAAGCUUGCGCUGACUACGUCCCUGCCCUUUGUACACACCGCCCGUCGCUACUACCGAUUGAAUGAUUUAGUGAGGACUUCGGACUGGGACCGAUGCGGCUUUCGGGCUGCGUCGGUAUUCUGGAAAGAUGUCCAAACUGUAUCAUUUAGAGGAAGUAAAANUCGUAACA